Molecule: microRNA, 22 nt
Filed under: Danio rerio (zebrafish)
Lineage: Eukaryota; Metazoa; Chordata; Actinopteri; Cypriniformes; Danionidae
Description: Dre-Mir-216-P2a_3p* (star (passenger))
Source: RNAcentral
ACAUUGACCUGAAGAGGUUGAG